RNAcentral lists this non-coding RNA (78 nucleotides) under unclassified sequences. Its description in RNAcentral is "skipping-rope RNA". It matches the Rfam family "skipping-rope RNA". From Rfam's summary of the family: Firmicutes, Fusobacteria, AlphaProteobacteria, Spirochaetes. Downstream gene The record is from Rfam by way of RNAcentral.
AGCCACUGAGGACGGAACGGGCUACCGUCACCACGCUGAAAGCGGCGGAGAUGUGGGAUACGCCAACCCACCUUGGUU